Molecule: long non-coding RNA, 1175 nt
Filed under: Pan troglodytes (chimpanzee)
Lineage: Eukaryota; Metazoa; Chordata; Mammalia; Primates; Hominidae
Description: long non-coding RNA NONPTRT008477
Source: RNAcentral
UGCAACUGCAUGACCAGCGGGGUCGCACACCACAAGACUGGGCUGAGCAGGGUGGGGCCAAGCAGAACUGGGAGGUGAGCAGUAGCCCUGGUGGGAGUGAGGCAUCAGGGCCGGCACCCAUCAGGCCUCACCCUACGUGCCCUCCUCCAGUUGCUGGAGUUGUUGCAGCUCUGCCGGGCCCACAUAUCAGCGUUCGUGCAUGACGGUGAGUUGCCACCCAUGGCAUCUCUGGACCGGUUGCAGGCCAGAUUUGGGAACAGCCCGCCUGGCUCCCUGUCCUCCCUGAGGCUGAUGCAGGCAGACAGGACGCUGAGGCUAGCACAGAUCAGGAGAGCCUCCCAAGUCCCGGCCUUGGGGUUUGGUCAGCCUCCUGUGGAUGGGUCACAAAAUGACUGUGCAGCAGCCGAAGGCCCCUGGAACCCAGACAGAUGUGCUACUGGCUGACCUUCAGCACUGCAGGCAGCAGAAGGGCUACCCCUGGGGAGGCCCAGGCCCAGGGCUUCCCCCGCCCCCUGAACUAUACCCAUGGCUGCCACUUCAGCUGAUCUGCGGUGACAUGCCCACCACCACCUCAGACCUCUACAGCUUCUGCAUCCUGACCCAGGAGGUCUUCACUGAGAAACUGUACAUCAAGUGGCUCACAGAGCCAAGACCACACCCAGGCCUGUGGCCCCUGUGAUGUCCCCAGGCCCCAUCCCAUGCCAGGCCUGAGACUCCUGAGGUCAGAGACCACAGCAGGAUCCCAAGGGGUGCAGCCUGGAGCUUGGGCAGCAGCUUGACUCUAGGCAGCAGCCCUGGGUCUGGCCACAGCCCCACAGCCAGGGUCAGCCUGCACUGCUGCCUGGAGCCCAGCUCAACAGUACAGAUACCCCCAGAGCCCUGCACAACUGUCCCACUGCUAACCUGUGACCCCCUCCGCCCGCCCUCCAGGAGUCACCAACCCCAAGUUCCCUGGCUGCCUCUCCUUUGACCAGGGAACUUUAGGGUCGCCCAACUGUCCCCUCACUCACCUAUGACCCUUAACCAACCCUGCUUCCCCCAGGGCCCUUCCCUGCACUCCAACUCCAGCCUCUAGGACUCAGCCUCCCUGCUGGGGACCCAGAGCUCUGCGGAACAGUUUGAGGAAGCUCUCAGCCAAGAUUCCAGCCCUGCAGGGGCUGCUGCAGCGCACACAC